Non-coding RNA from Oncorhynchus mykiss (rainbow trout), 2604 nucleotides. Lineage: Eukaryota; Metazoa; Chordata; Actinopteri; Salmoniformes; Salmonidae. The record is from RefSeq and is a predicted model, not a curated record.
AUGUCAGAGUGUAUCUGCCCUCUCAUUGGCUAGAAUGGUCCCACCUGAUCUUGCUUCCUCCCAAUGCCUUCAAUUUUUGAAGAUAUGUUCAUCCUUAGAGUGGCCACUGGAGCAUUUGAUCAAUAUGAUGGAUCAUCUGUGAUAGGGCUCACCAGUCCUAAAAAACACAAAUUAGUUAUCUCUGGUUUGUUCAUCCAUUCCUAUGGAGAAAAUCUCUAAACCAUUACUGACACCCCUCUCGACCCACUGCAGUUUGCCUACAGAACUAACAGGUCUGUGGAGGAUGCUAUCAGCAUGGGCCUACACUACAUUCUCAAACACCUCAAUAACCCAAACACGUAUGCAAGGAUAUUGUUUGUGGACUUUAGCUCUGCAUUUACAGUUUUUUCUGAAUGCUUAAACACUAACAGUGAUUCUUGAAGCACUAUCUCUGAAACCAUUAACACUUGUAGCCAAUGCAUUUACCAAGUGUGCCAAACUGAAUGCACGUUCUCUGCUUUACACUCAGUUUGCAAUUUAAUAACACACUUCUAGCAAAACUGUAAACAUUGGUCUCUACAUUGCUACACUAUUUCGCCAAUUGCCUUCCCACAUUGACAGGUGAAAACACUUUCAGAUAAUGAGUUCACUUACAAAUCAGAGCUUGAGCACUAUAAAUAGGCAACAGGUAAACAUUUGGUUUGGACAACAAUGGAGGCCAAUAUUGGCCAGAGAGUAAGAGGGGUGAGAACUAGAGGAGGACAAGGAAGAGUAGGAUGAGGAGGUGAAGAAGUAAGAGGAGGAAGAGGUGAAGUGGGAGAAGGAGAGGACGGGGAAGAGGAAGGGGUGUCAGGAACACAAUAACUGAUGAAAUCUGAGCGACUGUGGUUGACCAUGUUUUCAACCAUGGGAUGAACAUGAGGGAGGCUGGGCAACGGGUUCAACCAAAUCUGAGCCCCUAUGCUGUUGCAGGUAUCAUCCGGAUAUUUCGAAAUGAGAACCGAGAAACAUGGAGCUAGAAGCAGAUGCAGUGCAUCAUGAGCUAAUAUAUGUGGACGAGGCAGGUUUCAACCUUGCAAAAACAAGGGGCCAUUAUCAUCGGACACCGUGCCAUCAUCAACGUCCCGGGACAACGUGGUGGCAACAUAACAAUGUGUGCGGCUAUUAGUCAAAACGGUGUCCUUCACCAUCAUGCAAUUCUAGGCCCAUACAACACUGCACACAUUAUCACAUUUCUGGACACCCUCCACAACAGACUGACCCCUAAUGACCAGGGGCCAGAGCAGCCCAGAAUUCUUCUCUGCAUGGCGUUGGAAGGUGUAUGAUCGCCAGCCCCAUCAACGCAUACCCCUUCUACAGGCAAUGGAGGAGGCUUGUGGAGACAUCGAUCAGGGGUCAUGUCAGGCCUGGAUACGACCAGACCCACAAAGAAGGCGAGAUAUAGCCUAAUUUUUUUUCUGUUCUUUUUUUUUUCUAGCACAAAUGUUUUUGUUUUCUCCUACUGCGCUUUUGUUGUUAGAGGAGUGUUAGAACAUUUUUUUUAAACGUUUAAAAAAAACUUUUCCCCCUUAUUUGUGUUGAUAGCAUUAUGUUCGGAAUACACAUCCAUACUUUACACAUUUGGAUACCUGUGUGUAUGUGUGUUUACUACAUGAAUGACAAAACUUUCUUGCAAACUGCUAUGCCCUGCACACAGAAAAAGCCAAGUGUUUUUCAUUUAUACUUUCAGUGCGUAGUUUCGUGUGCUUAUUCAAAUUAUGGUUUGUGUGGAUUGUAUUGACACAAAAACAAAAACGCUUUAAUGUUUGAAGAGUUUUGCAAGAAUUGUUUGCUUUUGCAAGAGAUGUAUACUGUUUUGCUGGUUUAGUGAAAGGGUUUGUGGUUAGUGUGUAGAGUUUUAGCAAAAAUAGCCUAUAGUUUCAAAGAUCGUGCCUAAGCAAUCAGAAAAAACUGUAAUACCAUCAUCCCAGAACUGCUACAAAACAAAUUCUCCCAGCUGAACGUGUCCAGCUCCAUCUGUCAGUGGAUCAGACUUCCUGUCCAGCAGGACACAACACGUGAAGCUGGGAAAAGACCUUUCGUACUCUUUAUCCCUCAGCACCAAUGCACCACAGGGAUGCGUGCUCUCACCUCUACAAUACUCACUCAGCGCCAAUGACUCCACCUCCAACAACACAUCGGCCAAACUACUGAAGUUUGCAGAUGACACUACUCUGGCCGGUCUUGAUUGAUGGCUCAGCUGUUAGCACUGUAUAUCAACCAUAUACCCACUGUAUAUCAACCGUAUACCCACUGUACAUUUGUAUAUCUGCUCUCUCUUUAUAGCUCUAUGCUCACUCUACCUAGUUGUAUAUAAUGUAUGUAAACUUUGUUUAAACUCCGUUGUCCUUAUUCUGUCUGUAAAUGUUGUCUGUCACUAGCAACACCAUAUCACCAAGUAAACUUCUGAGUAUGUGUAAAUGUACUUGGUGAAUAAAGGUGAUUCUUAAAUGAAUGAGGAAAGAAUAGCAUUUUUGGAUAGAUGUCAAAAAUAAAUUCUGAGGUUAACACAUGCUUAGGAGAUCUUAUAGGUUUUGUUCUAUGAGAUAUGUGCUUUUUUAAAUUAAAUAAAUGCUUCAAAUUUCA